Molecule: non-coding RNA, 794 nt
Organism: Erythranthe guttata (spotted monkey flower)
Lineage: Eukaryota; Viridiplantae; Streptophyta; Magnoliopsida; Lamiales; Phrymaceae
Source: RefSeq, a predicted model, not a curated record
CUUCCACCCAAAAAGGGGUUUCCCACUGCGUCUGGGCAAAUUUCGGCCGCUAAAUCUUCCCCCAGCCCACAAAAUUGCCACCGCCCAUCAGUAUUUUCCGCUGCCGCCAACGCGUCUUGGCUCCGCGCACCUGCUUCUUCCGCUCUCAGAAAAGACAAAAUACCUGCAUUGUGAGGUCUUGCCAGCAGUGAGCUGCCUGGUCUGGUCUUCAUCCUUCUUGCUAUUUAAUUAUUUGUUUAUCAAUGGAUGUAAAUAGGACAACUAUUGAGAUCUGGAAUGUGGCAGCAGGUAUUAUCAACUUCAACUUAGAAAAUUAUGAAGAUGACAUGAUAUGUAUUUCUUUUAUUGGCGGCGCCGGAGAUCGAGGUGAGAGGAGAAGUCGGCCCAGCCCGUAGGUGAAGAUCGCCAUCUCCCUUGUGAAAAACAAUUUAAUUAAAUAAAAUAAAAUCUGAGCUCGUUUUUUCUGUAACGCCCCUCCGCCUAUUUUCGUUCUCAAUUCCGAGCAACGGCGGUACUGUAUCAAGCUUUUAAUUUGACGUUAAGGGACGCAUAAUUAGCCGUCUAUAAGGGUAUGGCACCUAGGAAAAACAGGAACAAAAUGAACAGGUUGUUUCUGGCAAGGCACUACUGAAGAAUGGGAAAAAAAACUGCUGAAUCUACUCUAGAAGAGGAAGUUUCCGACAGGAAACAGCGGAAGACUAAAAAGCUAGUGACGCAAAAUAAACUGUUUCACCUCCUGUGGUUAAGAAGAAGCCUUGUACGUGGCUUAAGCUUGAUAGGCUUGUCCCUCAAAC